This is a long non-coding RNA of Carassius auratus (goldfish), 4060 nucleotides long. RefSeq lists it as uncharacterized. NCBI's taxonomy places the organism in Eukaryota, Metazoa, Chordata, Actinopteri, Cypriniformes, Cyprinidae. The record is from RefSeq and is a predicted model, not a curated record. The transcript has 3 exons.
GCUGAGAAUGAUUUAGGUAAGGCAGUUCUGGUGGUCUGUCUCACUUUCAUGAAAGCGUUCAUUAGUCUUGAGAGAGGCUUUCUUCUCCUGUCCUCCUUCAGGUGAGACAUCUGUUAUUUAAAAAGAGCAGCGUUUGAAGAGCAACGAGAGGGGAGGAAUUGUUAUUCCAUAUUGUUGAGCCACUGACAGAGAGAGCACAGUGUUUUAAAGUACAAGCGCUGAAUGGUAAUGACAGAGGGAGAUACUGAAGGCAUUUGAUGUGACACGUUCACCAGAGAGAUUCAACAAAGGCAGUCAACUGCAUUGACGAACCAUAUAACAGUUUUUUUUACAGAGGCGGAAUGCAGAGUUAGGACUAUGACGGACGCCUGUGGGCAUUCAAUCACAGAAGAUGAGGUUUCCCAGCACAGCAAGCUCAGCAAGGCCCAUGUCAGUCACAUGGCUAAUGACCGUUUCAGUGACGGCUUCCUAUCAACGUAAUAAGAAGCACCUGUUAGCGGUGGAGCCCAAACUUGGAAAUGGGUGUAAUCAACCCCGGGGGACUGAUUGAAUCCUUCCUUCUGACGGUGGAGACGCGCUUCAGCGCAGGGCCACUGGAAAAGGAUCUUCCCGGAUUACUCGAGGACGGACACGCCGGAUGAGCCUUAUUGCAUGCCGACUGUAAACGUGACGCAAGGGAAGCCUGCGGAAGUCUCCGUGGAUGGCUCCUGGUCGAUUAAGGCCAUUGUGUGAUUUCAUGUCUUCCUAAGCACAAUGAGCAAUGAGAUUAGGUUCAAUUUGGACCUGCACUUGGAUUUCCCCACCUCCGUCAAGGCCCGAGCCCCCGCCAUGUCAGCCUGGGCCCACUGGGAAAUCAGUGAUCUCCAGACAGGUCACCGCUGGCCCAUGUAUAUAUUCAUGGGCUUAAUCUCGCAUCAUUUCUAUGGCAUGAGGAAAAGAAAUGCAUUCAAUUUACACUCUCUCCAUUCGCCUCAUACAGUACACACAGGGGAGGCAUCCAUAUGUGUGUCUAACAUGCUAAGGAUUCAUUCGGUUAGCUCAAAACGUUUUGCAAGGCAGAAUCCAAUUCGUGAAAUUCAGCCUGUAUGCUUUAACUCAGAGCGGAGCCUCAGUGGGAGACUGCUGGUUGGAGUGGAAGGCUUCAAGUUGUCUCCGGCAGAUGCUGAGUGUGUAUUAAACAGAUUAAUUAUUAAAACAUGCUUGACAGAUGAAAAGUGGGACCUCGGGCUAAAGAGAGAAUGUUUAUUCUUCUGCCAUAUACUGUAGUCAUUUGGCUCCCGUUCACAAGUUAUUGGGCACCUUGUUGAGGAUUUGAGGGCUCGGUGUCAUAUGUGCGACGCACAAACUGUUUGGGGUUGUCCAGACCGGCACAGCUCUGAUGGAAAGUAUGAGGCCCUUUAUGGACCUGAUUUACUGAUUCAAAGUGUCUGUCUGUGGGUAUUGCUUCUUGUGGUGGUGACGGGAUACUACAGCAAUAUAUAGAUUGUUUAAAUUAUUUCCACUAUAAAUCUGUUAAUGAUUUACAUUUAUGCAUUUAGUAGAUGCUUUUAUGUGACAUACUUUGCAUUUUACAUUGCACAUGCAUUUUACCUCUUAUAUUUACUUAUAUGCAUUUUUUUUUAAUCUAGCCAAAAUAUCUAUAAGAAGAUAUUGUAAAGAAUGAUGAAGAGCAAAUUUAUGUCCAUGGAUGGAUAGAUAGAGACAUUUUUCAUUUAAUAACAUCUUUUGUGUUCCAGAGCUGAAAAAGGUAUACAGAUUUCGAGUAAAAGAUGAGAAAAUGUUCUCUCUUUGAUGAACUCCCUUUAAGAUGGAAGAGUGUAGUUUUGGAAUGAAAUAUGUUUUUGUUGCUGCUGAUCUGCCACACUACUGCAGGAAAAUAAGCGGGAACCGGAGGGAAAACAACCUCUUUUGUUGGUCUUCAUGAUAAAUUUUGCAUGCAUAUUAACCAGCAGGGAUGGCUGCCAACGUGCUAAACAGUGGUGAUUGCGAUUUCUGUUUUAUAGAGAAAAAGGGGAGAUGUGUUGCAAGUGGCUCUCUCUGUUGUGUUUCAAGGCCAAACCGAGCUGCAUCUGGCAGCGGGUCUGAAUGCCACCUGCUCCAACAAGUCCCUGAGCCUUUCCUCCAAAACAUGUGACCAUGCAAAUUGGGAACAAAUUAUUCUGUCCGAGAACGGAGCAUUUGCUGCAGCAAAAAACGAUCAAGAAAGGGCCCUUCUCCCAUUAGACAGCGAAGACAUGCGGUGGCAGCCACCGGUUACCUGGCCUCCCUGUUGACAGGGCUGUUGCUGAUAGCCCCCAGCCCCCCUGGACCCUAGGGAAUGGGCCUCAGAUGCAGAUGAUCACUAUUAGGAGCCGGACAGGCCUCCCCUCAGAGCGAUUAGCAUUCCCCUGGCGUGACCUACAGGUGUAGCCCAGAUUAAGUGAAUAAAUUCAUCGCCCUGAGGAUCACUGGGCCUGACCCCUGCUGCUGGCGCCUGAAUUAGAAUGUGUUUGGAGCUCGCGGGCACGGAGAUGAUUGCAAGCUAAACAUGGACGGCGACAAAAAGAGGGGGAAGGAAUGAUGUCGAUGGCGAAGGUUUAUUUGCAAAACAAACUAACUGUUCUAUUAGAUUUCUCACCCAUCCAAGUAAGAAUUGACUACAUCUUUUAUUUUGCCAGUGUGUUUGAGUCUGCAUAGGGAAGGGGGGGGGUUCGAGUAAUUCAGGCUCAUGUUUUGUUUCCUGUAAUUUAAUCUGAAACUAGCUUGUUUUUCUUUUCCCAUCGGACUUGCCUGUUCUGUUGACAUUUUUCCUGUUAUUUGUAUACUGCAAAGUGGUCCAUUUUUCCCCCAUCAAAACCGCUUUUCUCAGUAUGUGUCAGGAUGUCUUUUGAAUUUACCUUCAGCUCCUGACAGACUUUAGAACGGGGCGCGUGUACACAGACGAGGGGAAGAUUCCUUUGUGCCCUGAGCAUUUUCGUGAAGGCAGAGCCUGGCUCAAAGGCUGUCAACACAAACACUGCUGGUUUGCUCUCAGUUGCACUCCCUGUAAAGGUUGAGCAGUUGAAACACACAUGGGUUAACACCAUGCUCAUUAUGUACUUUUUCAUCUCAGUGUUGAUCUUAUUGAAAGGAAAAUAGCCAAGGAAAAGAAACCAUCACUGUGUUCCCAAAGCAGUGGUAUAGGGUUGAUGUGUAUCACAAUACAGCAGUUCAUGGUUUAUGAAAGAUUUCAAUAGCACAGCAAAUAACUAAUAUGCUAACAAUGUUCUAUAUAAUUAAUAUAUAAUACCAAAAAAGGCUUCAUUAAUCAAACAGUCCUAAAGAAAAAUGUCACUGUUUCCACAAAUGUAUUAAUAAAUAUUCAACAAUUUAUUAUUAAUUCUGAAGGAUAAUUUGGCACUGAAGCCUGGAUUAAUGGCUCCAAUAAACUGUAAUAAUAUUUCACAAUGAUUAUUACUGUAUUUUUGAUAGACUAAAUGCAGUCAAACAUAAGAGACGACUUAUAAGAUAUUAAACAAUCUUACUGACCCCAAACUUUUGAACCACAUUUCUCACAAUAUACACUAAUUUUCCUCUUGCUCUCAGAUAUUAGACAAUCCACAUUCUGGCUCUCAACAUGCAAUGUUGCCUUAAUAGAGACCAGAACUGACCUUAGCUAUUUACCAAAAGACUUGGCCUGAAUCUUCAUAGCAAUUUGCCAGGGCAUACUUUUAUUUCUGUGGUCUGUUGAAUGCUGUCACUAUCAAUUACAGUACCCCUGUAUUCAUUACACCAAUAAUGAACCCAUUUAUAUAAUCUUUUUCCUGCAGUGAUUCAUACUCUUACAUGGACAAAGUGAUUGUUAGUGGAAAAAAUUGUGUUAGGAACCCAUAUAUCCCAAGUCCAGGAUUGCCAUAGGGGUCGGUUGAUGGAACGAACAUGGGAAAGAGAUAUUUAACUCAACAGGUAUCACUGUGAGUAUGGCAUACUUUUUUUUACCAGUUUGCACUUAUUUAUAAUGGCAGAACUGUCUCUUACUACUCUUUUGCAUAGAAGACAGUGAUUGCUUUGCAUCUCAAAGACAUCAAACCACUAACCAUCU